CGGACUGCGCGCGGUGCUUGCGGGCCAACGCGAGUUCCGGGUAGGUGUGGGCUCUGCGGGCCCCGCACUGGGAGCGCACGGCCGGCCCUAAAGGCCCCAGGCAAUGAGGGGCUUAGCAGCCGGGCCAGCGGCUGCGGAGGGUGUGCUGGGUCCCCCAGCAGUGCCGGCCCACCAGCGCUGCGCUGGAUUUCUCACCGGGCCUUAGCUGCCUCCCCGCAGGGCAGGGCUCCGGACCUGCAGCCCGCCAUGCCUGAGCCUCACCCCCUCCGUUGGGAUCCUGUGCGGCGGGAGCCUCCCCAACGAGCGCCGCCCCCUGCUCCACGGCACUCAGUGCCAUCGACCACCCAAGGGCUGAGGAGUGCCGGCGCAAGGCGCGAGACUGGCAGGCAGCUCCACCUGCAGUCCGGUGGGGGAUCCACUGAGUCAAGCCAGCCGGGCUCCUGAGUCUGGUGGGGACUUGCAGAACCUUUAUGUCUAGCUAAGGGAUUGUAAAUGCACCAAUCAGCACCCUGUGUCUAGCUCAGGGUUUCUGAAUGCACCAAUUGACACUCUGUCUCUAGCUACUCUGGUGGGGAGGUGGAGAACCUUUAUGUCUAGCUAAGGGAUUGUAAAUAUAGCAAUCGGCACUCUGUAUCUAGCUCAAGGUUUGUAAACACACCAAUCAGCACCCUGUGUCUAGCUCAGGGUUUGUGAAUGCACCAAUUGACACUCUGUAUCUAGCUACUCUGGUGGGGACUUGGAGAACCUUUGUGUCCCCACUCUGUAUCUAGCUAAUCUGGUGGGGACGUGAAGAACCUUUGUGUCUAGCUCAGGGAUUGUAAAGGCACCAGUCAGCACCCUGUCAAAACAGACCACUUGGCUCUCUGUAAAAUGGACCAAUCAGCAGGAUGUGGGUGGGGCUAGAUAAGAGAAUAAAAGCAGGCUGCCCGAGCCAGCAGUGGCAACCCCCCUUGGGUCCCGUUCCACGCUGUGGGAGGUUUGUUCAUUUGCUCUUUGCAAUAAAGCUUGCUGCUGCUCACUCUUUGGGUCCAGACUGUCUUUAUGAGCUGUAACACUCACCGGGAAGGUCUGCAGCUUCACUCCUGAAGCCAAGGAGACCACGAACCCACCGGGAGGAAGGAACAACUACAGACACGCCGGCUUAAGGGCUGUAACACUCACUGCGAAGGUCCGCAGCUUCACUCUUGAGCCAGCGAGACCACGAACCCACCAGAAGGAAGAAACUCCAAACACAUCCGAACAUCAGAAGGAAAAAACUGCAGACACGCCGCCUUUAAGAACUGCAACACCGCGAGGGUCCGCGGCUUCAUUCUUGAAGUCAGUGAGACCAAGAACCCACCAAUUCCAGACACGCUACCAAAGGCAGAGGGGAGCUCCUAGACAAAGAUAUUUUGCUUACAAAUGGAACACAUCAAAUCAAGCUUUUGUGAACUUGAGGGAAGAAACAAAGAAUAUGAAGCCUAAAUGGAAGUGUCAGGAAAUGGUCGCCUUGCGGACAAGGAAACAGCAGCCUGGAAGGCCAGGAGAGGGCAGACUACCCACCUAACCCUCUGCAGAAUUUUGUGUGGACCCUGGAGACCAGAAACUAACUUCUCCUGCAGAGACAAGGUCUUGCUCUGUCACCCUGGCUGGUCUUGAACUCCUGGCUUCAAGCAAUUCAUCCAUCUCAGCCUCCUGAGUAGCUGGGAUUACAGAAAAAACAGUGAAGCAUAGACAGUUUUUGCAAGAGGCCCAAGAUCAUACAUCAAAUACGUGCACAGCCAGGACCUGAACCAGUUGAUAUCUACAAAUGCCUGGCUUUUGCCACUGGGCUCCUUCAGGUAUAUCUAACUUUUACACUCUAAGUUUGUUUCUGCUGUUUUGUUGUUGUUGUGUAUGUAUAUAUAAAAUACUAUUUAAAAGUAAAAAACUUUUGUAUUUUUGCUUAGGCUUUAUGGAUGAGAGAACAAAAUUAUUACAAUAAUAAAUAAUCAAAACAACUAAUGCCAAAAGCUUUAUGUAUUCAAGGAGGUCACUAUGCACUAUUCUUUUUUUCUGAAAAUUACAUCCAAAAGUCUACUUAAUAACUAAACAUUUAAGCAUUUCCAAAAUAAACUCAUUAACAUUACUUUUUCUAACAGAAGAAAUUUUCUACAUGAAAACAUCAUCUUUAGGUAGUCAAAAGCAAUUUUAUUAUAAAAUUAUAUGUGUACCUUCAAGGGAAAUCAAAAUGAAUUCUGAAUAUUUUAGUAAUUUCAAUAGCUCUGCAUAUCUAAAUUUUUAUUCAUGAAAUGGUUUUAUACUUUUAGGUUAUUUCAUAAGAUGAAUACAUAACUUGAGUUGCAGAUGGCCAAAAAAUACCUUUAUAUUAUUUCUGAUAUAUUGCAUUUGAAAUUCUGUAUUUCUAUGGUAUACAUAUUUAUGUAACACUUAACAUAAUAUUUGAUAUUAUAAAAGAAAUAGAAAUUCCUCAGGUUUCCCAUAUAUGCAUAAUUUACAGCAGUAUAUUUCCACAUGGGAAAAACUGUGCUUAAUCAUUGUUUAUUUAAUCAUAUCACUUUGAUUAAAACUUAUAUUUUGAAUUCGUAUUUUUACCCAUUUUAAUUCACCACAUAUCCCUUCUUUUUAACAAGCACAUUAAGAAAAAUAGAGGCAGAAAUAUUGUCACGUUCCAAAGUCAUAAGACUAAUUAGUAAAUACAGAGGUAACACCUCACAGACAUUACAGGGCUAGACUUUUGCACAACUCACUCAUCCACACUCCUUUUUUCACCUUUUAAAAUAUGUAGAGAUAAGUCAUCUAAUAUGAUACUGGGCUUUAUUUUGAUGGAUCUAACCAAUUAGACUCACUCUAUCAAAAAAAAAUCCAAUAAUGUGCAUAAUAAAUUCUUCUCAUUCUCUGUGCACCUGUUCUCUCUCAUUAUGUCUAAAACUUGGGAUUACUCCAAAGUGUUCCAUAAUGACUUUUUAUAAGCACAGCAAGUAGGAGAAAUUCUUCAAGGACAGAGUGAAUUGGUAUUUGAAGUUGUGCUAACUACCUAGGUAGGAGGGAAGUGAUAACAAAAGAAAGACCAUGAGGCACAUAUCAUUUGGAGGUAGGACGAUUUAUGGGAUAAAGAAUCAUGCCACCAGUGAUGAAAGGUACAAAAAUCCUAAGCAGUCCCAGUUUCUCAGUUUUGUAAACAUUAGCGCAUAUUUUCAAUUAAUGUAUUUUUUUCCUGUAUUCAGUUUUCGGAAAAUGUUUAAGCAACACAGUCUUGUUUUUGUCUUUUGUUUUAUACAUCUUGGAAGAUAUUUAAAAGAGUGAUUAAAAGAGUGAUUAUUUCACGUUUAUAGCCACUGUGUAUCUGUAGAACUACAUAUAUUUACUUUUAGUUGCAAUUUAAUUUUGUGUGUGUGUUUGUGUGUGUGUGUGUGUGUGUGUGUGUGUGUGUGUGAUUGAAUCUUGCUCU
Long non-coding RNA from Pan troglodytes (chimpanzee), 3430 nucleotides. RefSeq lists it as uncharacterized. The transcript is spliced from 4 exons. The record is from RefSeq and is a predicted model, not a curated record. NCBI's taxonomy places the organism in Eukaryota, Metazoa, Chordata, Mammalia, Primates, Hominidae.